UACAGAGGGUGCAAGCGUUAAUCGGAAUUACUGGGCGUAAAGCGUGCGCAGUCGGUUAUUUAAGUCGGGCGUGAAAGCCCCGGGCUCAACCUGGGAAUUGCGUUCGAUACUGGAUAGCUAGAGUUCGGCAGAGGGAAGCGGAAUUUCGGGUGUAGCGGUGAAAUGCGUAGAUAUCCGAAGGAACAUCAGUGGCGAAAGCGGCUUCCUGGACCAGAACUGACGAUCAGGCACGAAAGCGUGGGGAGCGAACAGG
RNAcentral lists this ribosomal RNA (253 nucleotides) under uncultured bacterium. RNAcentral describes it as "partial 16S ribosomal RNA". It matches the Rfam family "Bacterial small subunit ribosomal RNA", at positions 524 to 776 of the family's 1533-position model. The record is from RNAcentral.